AUAUGCAUCUGCUGGGUGCCUCGUGGGGAGCUAUCACACAUCUGUUGCUGCAUCUCGCUUAUAAGAAGGAAAGAUUGGAUAAGGAUUCUUGAGGGAGCGACCCAGCGCGCGGCCAAGUCAGUCUGUACAAUCCGGUCACAACUCGUCUAACGCCAGAAAAUAAUUCCCACAUAAUCAAGAGGAUUACUCAUAUCUAUCCGUACAUGACGGCUGCUUACGCUCUAUUGAAGAAACGGAUCGGCAACGAAGCUUAUUGGCGGAAAAUAUCUCAAGGGACCAAUCGACUUGCGCGUAUGUAAGUAUGUUCUUCUGUUUGAUCACACGUCGCGCACUAAAUUUACUCAACUGCUUUGCUUAAGUGAAAUAUUGAUAAAUUUCAAGUUAUAAUUUCAUAUUUAUUAAUAAUUAUGAUUGAACGAUCGCAUGAAUGUGUCACAAUAAAUCAUUGACAAAAC
This is a long non-coding RNA of Pogonomyrmex barbatus (red harvester ant), 455 nucleotides long. Lineage: Eukaryota; Metazoa; Arthropoda; Insecta; Hymenoptera; Formicidae. The record is from RefSeq and is a predicted model, not a curated record.